UUCCGGUUGAUCCUGCCGGACCCGACUGCUAUCAGAGUGGGACUAAGCCAUGCGAGUCAACACAGCAAUGUGGCAUACGGCUCAGUAACACGUAGUCAACAUGCCCAGGGGACGUGGAUAACCUCGGGAAACUGAGGAUAAACCGCGAUAAGUCACUACUUCUGGAAUGGGUAAUGACUUAAAUCUAUAUGGCCCCUGGAUUGGACUGCGGCCGAUCAGGCUGUCGGUGAGGUAAUGGCCCACCAAACCUGUAACCGGUACGGGCUCUGAGAGGAGGAGCCCGGAGAUGGGCACUGAGACAAGGGCCCAGGCCCUAUGGGGCGCAGCAGGCGCGAAACCUCUGCAAUAGGCGAAAGCCUGACAGGGUUACUCUGAGUGAUUUCCGUUAAGGAGAUCUUCUGGCACCUCUAAAAAGGGUGCAGAAUAAGGGGUGGGCAAGUCUGGUGUCAGCCGCCGCGGUAAUACCAGCACCCCGAGUGGUCGGGACGAUUAUUGGGCCUAAAGCAUCCGUAGCCGGUUCUGCAAGUCCCCCGUUAAAUCCAGCUGCUCAACAGAUAGGCCGCGGAGGAUACUACAGAGCUAGGAGGCAGGAGAGGCAAGCGGUACUCAGUGGGUAGGGGUAAAAUCCGUUGAUCCAUUGAAGACCACCAGUGGCGAAGGCGGCUUGCCAGAAUGCGCUCGACGGUGAGGGAUGAAAGCUGGGGGAGCAAACCGGAUUAGAUACCCGGGUAGUCCCAG
Molecule: ribosomal RNA, 738 nt
Filed under: uncultured archaeon
Lineage: Archaea
Description: bacterial SSU rRNA
Rfam family: Archaeal small subunit ribosomal RNA
Source: RNAcentral